UACGGCGGGUGCAAGCGUUAUCCGGAUUCACGGGGUUUAAAGGGUGCGUAGGAGGGCAGGUAAGUCAGUGGUGAAAUCUCCAAGCUUAACUUGGAAACUGCCGUUGAUACUAUCUGUCUUGAAUAUUGUGGAGGUGAGCGGAAUAUGUCAUGUAGCGGUGAAAUGCUUAGAUAUGACAUAGAACACCAAGUGCGAAGGCAGCUCGCUACUCAAUUAUUGACUCUGAGGCACGAAAGCGUGGGGAUCAAACAGG
This 253-nucleotide ribosomal RNA is filed under the name uncultured bacterium. RNAcentral describes it as "partial 16S ribosomal RNA". It matches the Rfam family "Bacterial small subunit ribosomal RNA", at positions 524 to 776 of the family's 1533-position model. The record is from RNAcentral.